AUCAAAAACACACUGGAAUCAGUCCUCUGGCAGUUGAGAGCCUGCUUUGGUGAGGCUUUCUUUCUGGUUACCUCAGCAGGACAAAUGUCCUCAGGGCAUAUCUCACUCCACGGACCAGGUUUUGAAUGGAUAUUAGCAAUUUGAUUUCCCUCCUCCUCCAGCUCUCCUCUCAUGCAAAAACACAGAGCUGACUGGCUUUGCUCCUCCCAAUUCUCUCCAUAUAUUCACCCCAAGGCCAGUUGUCAUAGGACUGUGCCUGCAUAGAACCAGUCAAUUGAAGCUUUCCAAACCUUGCCACCUGCAAGGGUUUCCAGAAGAUGAAAAGCUGGUGUGCAACUGGAGAGUCCAGACAUGAAAUGCAGGACUUGUUUGCCCCCUGCCCUAAAGGGGUCUGCAGCCUCCUCCCCACAGAGGCAGCAGCUGAGCAUCCUUAGAGGACACAGAGGAACUCUGCUCUUCCCAGCCAAAGCAAGGUUCACCUGGGACUUGGAAACAGGUGUCUACAAUGAAUGGGAAAGCACAGGGGGCAUGCCUGGAGGCAGCCCAGGACUGUGAGGAGAAGCUGAAGGCACUCUGGCUGCUCAGCCCCCUUUCUCUGCAGCACUGCUGGUCAGGUUUUCCUGAGGCCCUUCCAGCAUCCCCCAUCUCACCAUGCACAGAGACAAGGUACCAGCUCCCAGAUGCCCAAGCAGCAGGUUGCUGUGCUGCUCAAGGAGAGAAAUCUAUCUCAAGAAUAUCUUCUCAAGAAACUCCAAAGAAGAAACUGGGCCAUUGCACCAAAAUGUGCAGGUCCAAGGACAACUUGCUCAGGAGUCUCUGGUGGAGAAGGUGCCAGUGUCCAUCCUGCAGUGACAGUCCAAGCCCUGGGGGCCAGGAGGAGUCACCAGCAGAUCAAACAACAUCCAAUGUCUUUGCCACUUUAAGCUGAAUUUUUAUUUUCUUGGAGUCAAAGGAGCUAAAAAGGAGGGAACACAAUCUUUUCCAGCCAGCUCUACUCAUGAGUGAUUGUGCAGAGCUGUGCUAAUGGGCUCUGCCAAGCUGUGGUCACCCUACGGAGCUAUUGGCAGGAGAGGUGGCAAGUUGGAAGGGACUACAAGGGAACUCUGCAUGAUAUUUUUUGAUGAGCUGAUUAUUCAGAAAUUUCACAAGAGCUGAAAUAUAUCACUCUGUUCUGAAACUCACAGCCCUGCCAACACACAGGACAGCUUACAUGAGCAGCAGCAUUUUCUCCUUCACAGAGCUGCUGGCCUGCACGUCAGGAUGCGGGAAUUGGACAAGGCUUUUCAGCAGCCAUCGACCACAGUGACAGUGAGAGGUGGGGAGUGGAUGGGAGGACACAGAAAGCUGGCACAGAAAUUAUUUUGGUACUUUCAUGGCUGUCACUAUGUGUGUAUUUGGGCUUGAGAGUUUUUCAUGAGCUCUGUGGGUACUGGGGCAUUUAGAAUUUUAUUGCUUUAUGGCUGGGUAUGAGAUCACCCCAGAUUCCACAUGGACUCAGGUAUUUUUAUUUCAGGAGUGCUCAGUCCUGGCCACAUUUCAGGGUACUGUCACAUGCCCAGGAGCUGACCUUGACUUCCCCACUGCAGCCAGGACCUGCUGUCUUGGCAUCAGCCUGUCUGCAGCCCAGUCAGGCUCCCACAGAGACCAGCAGAACAUUUUCCCUUCUCUCCAGUAUUACCUAAAAACAAAACACUGGCUUAUUUGAGCACAGAAUCAAAAGAGAGCCUGAUACCUGGGGGUGGGUGAAUGUGUGCUGGGGGAGCUUAGAAGCAGCAUAGGUUUCUGAACUAACCCACAAAAUCUUCAAGGAGCUGACACAGCCCAUCCCCAGCCCAUUCUUCUGUCAGCACACACCUGUUUUGAGCUGCCUGGGGCAGCAUCAGCUGUCCCGUGGAGAACCUGGAGCUGGUACAUCUGCAUCUGGAGCAAGAACAAUGCUGAAGUGCUGAAAGACAAAUAACAAACAUCCCCAUGCUGCACUGACAGCCUUUGCUGAAAGCACCUGAGCUGCCUGGCAUGGCAGUGGAUGUGUGGGCUGAUGUGUCCCAUCAGAUUGAGCUCCCAAUAACCUGUCUGCUCUCCUGUCCGUGCCCUGAGUCACCUCCUGUGCAAUUUCUGUUCCGGGGCAGUCAGGGGACACGUGGAGCUCCCAGGCUGUUCCCACAAGUCAGUGAGGAGAGCUGUGGCUGAUCCAUAUCUGGUUUACUCAUGGAAAAAGAGGCGCACAGGAACAGCCCGUGCAGUCCUUCAGAGGAGCUGCUGCUUCAGGAAAAACUCUUAGGAAUUGAAAAAGUCUGGGAAAUUUCCUUCUGAGUAAGGACAGGGAAUGAGGGUCUGAGCUGUGUCCUGUUAGGAAGCCACCCCAUUGGGACCACUCCUCUUGUGCCACGUCCCUCUGAGCCCCUGCACUGGGGAUUUUUCCCAUGUUUCCUGCUUUGGAUGAGGGAGCUCAGCACUGCAGCAUUCCCCAGCCCACAGGCAAGCCCCAGGCAUGACCCCAGGAGGGUGAGAGAUGAAGGCUGAAAAGGACAAAGAUGGUUACAAAGUUCAUCAGUGUCUUCAGCACAGCAUCUCCUCGCAUUUCCUGCAAUGGCACCUCUGCAUACAGCUCCUUGCCCAUGGAAAAUUAAGUCUGUAAGAAGUAUAUAAAUGAUCCAGACAACACCUUCAAGGUCCACAUCUUAAAAAAACUGCAAGGGUUUACUCCACAUACUGCUGCAGGAUGUCAUGUACCUCAUGAUCUGCCUUUUCUAAUCUCUCCUUAUCUCUCACUCCAAUCCUUUCUCAUGUCCCUCAUCUAUUGCAAAUUCCCUUUUUAAGCUGGAGCGAAGCACAUAAAUAUUUUCAUGCUGCAUAAAUAGGUUGUUUUGUGCAUAAUGUCACAGGAGGCCUUUUUUAAAACCAGGACCUUUAGUGCUGUGAUAACGGCCUCCUCAUUUACACAAAUGAAAUCUUCCAUGGAGCUCAGCACUCAUCUGCUCUGCAGCCCCCAUGCAAAAUGCCUGGCACAGAGCCUGCUCAUCACAGGCUACAGAAUUAAUACAGAAUAUUCCAUAAUAAAUAGGAAGCCAUUGAGCAGCAGGUUUGAAAAUGCCUUGCAAAUGUAACUGAUGCUGAGGUUUUUCUUUAGUGUUGCCCAGCAGCACAACCAUUGUCUUCCUUCUAUGUGAAAUCACAGCAACUUGAAAUGCUAAAGUGCAAAAGGACAACCAUUUAUGUUGGCCCAUUUGCCAGCAUCUUUGACCAUUCUGUCUGUUCACCUUACCUUCUCUGUUGCUUCUUGCUCCCUGACCUUCAUUUCCUGUUUAUUCAGCCCUUGCUCAGGGUCUAAAAAGUGCAGACACCAUCAAAAUGGACUUUUCAUUUACUCUGCACAGAAAAAGAAAUAGUGUUACAAUCUGUACAGUUUUUAAAAGGGCUAAUGGAAGAUACUGGGGGCCACACUGGGUCAUGGUAUGUCUUUGAAUCAAAGUGGUUUUCAGGAGCAAUAUUUAAAUAGCACAACAGUAAAAACUGGAAUCAAACAUCAGUGAUUUUGCUCUAGUAUUUCUAUUUAUAUUUGACAAGCUUAAAGACUUCAAGCCAUUGGACUGAAUGGCUCUGCAGUACAGAGCAGAGAGACACUUGGUGAAAAUGAUGAGAACUCAUCCAUUGUGCAUUGUCAUACUUCUCAGGUCAGGCUGUAACCCUCCAGGACAGACUAUCAUGGAGCAGCUGAAUUUGCUCUGAACAUGAUCACACUGUGCUGCCAGGCAGGCAAAGCUCUACCAGGCUCUGGUCUGGACCUGACUCCUCAAGCCCUCAGGCAGGCUCUGCACCCUGUGGCCUCCCUCAGCAUGACUCUUAUUGAAAGACUUGGGGGCAUUUUGUUUUUCGUCCUGACUUUGGGGGACACGGAAAGCUUUGGUUGUUUGCUUCCCUGCAGUUCCGGAGGAGGAUUAUGGGUGCUCUUUUCACACAUCUUAUGGACUCGUUUAGUCUCUCUUCCAUCUGUUGUUUGACUUCUUUUCCUGUAUUAUGUGUUAGCAAUCAACAACUAACCUGUGGUGGGUUUCUUCCUGUGCAGGGUUCUGAACACAGCAUUUCUUGCCCUGAGAUUGUUCCACGUGGGAGGCUCCCACUUGUUUGUGUCUGUGAGCAGCCACUCAUGCCAGCCUAACUCUAAUGUGAUUACUAUUCCAUGAGCAACUUCCCAUAUGAAUUGCUUUACAGAAGUGUUUUCUGUCACUUAAAACUCCAGAAGCCUUUUCAUAAUGCAUUAAAAGAACAGAAAAAAGAAAGAUUUCAGGAAGCUUAAUAUUUCUUGUUAUAGAACUCACCUGCAGAAAGAACAGCUUUCCAAGUUUAUCUUGGCUAGUCUGUAACAAAGUCUUGGUUUGUAUGAAUUGCCACACUGCUAAAAGAUCUAAUUUUUCUAUGAUAAAAUAGCCUACAUACAGUAACUGAAUCAAAGAGCACACAAGGAGUAAACACUUUAUAACGUACCUAAACGCAGUAGCUACUUGAUUUUCCUGGCACUUUAUUUCUAUUUAGGCCAAGGGACAAUUUAAAAAGAUUCAUUCCCAAGUACACAAUUCAGAAAAAUAUGAGUUACAAUUCAGAGCAAUAUUUUGAACCAAUGCUGUUUAGUUGUCUUAGCUGGAAUUCAACCUUGAUGAUAUCCAAAGGUCCAAUAAAAUUUUUCAUGGAAGAAUCCCAUACUUGUAGAACAUAAUAAAAUUGUUGAGCUGCAGUUCCAGGGCCACUGAGAACUGGAGAAUGAGGCUGUUCUUUCUGGGGACUUUCUGGUGUCUUGGGAUGUGUUCCAAACACUUUGUUACCUGAGAAGUAUCAAACAUAACAGAUCAUUACAUAUAAUAGCAGCUUUGAUCUUUGUUAGUAAGACAAAAUGUGAGGCUGUUUAUUACUAACGACUUAGGUGCUCAUUAGUGUGUUCUGACAGGAGCCCCUGACAGCAGUAGGCAAAAGGAAAUGUUCAGUGUUAAACCCCCACACAGCACAUUGCAGCUCCUAUGCCACAGAGGAAGGAGAAAAGCCUUGCACACAACUAUUUUAAAAUUAUUUAUCAGAGCUGGAAAGAGAUUUGUCUGAUUUCUUAUCUGCUUUUUCAAUAAACUGCACUUGCAAAUAAUAGCAAUGCCUGCCUUUCACAUCGUGCUUUUCAUUCCUAACUCACAAAGCACCCUUGGAAAGAGGUCAGGAUCAUUUUACAAAAAACAAACAUGAAGUGAGGCCACCUCUCUGAUGUCCCUGAGUAAGACAGCACAGUCCCCAGCUCUGUUGACCGCUCCUCAUGGGAACAAAGGAUUAGAAAGGGCAUCUUGUGUCAUCAAAUCCAGCUUCUUACUCUUCAAAUCUAUUUUGCUAUAAUAACCUCAUGCAAGACUCUUUGGGGCUCAUGAUCUCUUAUAUAAGCUCCUACAAAUAAUCUUUCAAGACUAUCAUCUCUUGUUUAUCCUCAUCCAUCCUGACCAUGUGGUGGGACUCUGCCUAAUGCCAAGGAAUUACACACCAGUGAUUUGGAACCAUCACCGAGAAAAUGCCCCCAUGCUGAAGAAUGAAUGGGGCAAUUCUUGCCAUGUCUGCUCCAAUUUUAUGCAUCUCUUGGUGGUCCAU
Passer domesticus (house sparrow) is the source of this 5616-nucleotide long non-coding RNA. RefSeq lists it as uncharacterized. Lineage: Eukaryota; Metazoa; Chordata; Aves; Passeriformes; Passeridae. The transcript has 4 exons. The record is from RefSeq and is a predicted model, not a curated record.